Molecule: ribosomal RNA, 422 nt
Filed under: uncultured bacterium
Lineage: Bacteria
Description: bacterial SSU rRNA
Rfam family: Bacterial small subunit ribosomal RNA
Source: RNAcentral
UGAGGAAUAUUGGUCAAUGGGUGCAAGCCUGAACCAGCCAUCCCGCGUGAAGGACGACUGCCCUAUGGGUUGUAAACUUCUUAUGUAUAGGGAUAAACCUACCCUCGUGAGGGUAGCUGAAGGUACUAUACGAAUAAGCACCGGCUAACUCCGUGCCAGCAGCCGCGGUAAUACGGAGGGUGCAAGCGUUAUCCGGAUAUAUUGGGUUUAAAGGGUCCGUAGGCGGACUUAUAAGUCAGUGGUGAAAGCCUGUCGCUUAACGAUAGAACUGCCUAUGAUACUGUAAGUCUUGAGUAUAUUUGAGGUAGCUGGAAUAAGUAGUGUAGCGGUGAAAUGCAUAGAUAUUACUUAGAACACCAAUUGCGAAGGCAGGUUACCAAGAUAUAACUGACGCUGAGGGACGAAAGCGUGGGGAGCGAACA